GAUGAAGAACGUAGCGAAAUGCGAUACGUAAUGUGAAUUGCAGAAUUCAGUGAAUCAUCGAAUCUUUGAACGCAUAUUGCGCUCUCUGGUAUUCCGGAGAGCAUGCUUGUUUGAGUAUCAGUAAACACCUCAACUUCCAUAUCUUUUUUGAAUGGGAGUUGGACUUGAGUGAUCCCAACGCUUUUCCUCACCGAAAAGUGGCGGGUUACUUGAAAUGCAGGUGCAGCUGGACUUUUCUCUGAGCUAUAAGCAUAUCUAUUUAGUCUGCCUAAAAAACAGAUUAUUACCUUUGCUGCAGCUAACAUAAAGGAGAUUAGUUCUUGUGCUGACUGAUGCAGGAUUCACAAAGACAGCUUCGGCCGACUUUGUAAACUCGAUCUCAAAUCAAGUAAGACUACCCGCUGAACUUAAGCAUAUCAAUAAGCGGAGGA
Molecule: unclassified non-coding RNA, 431 nt
Filed under: soil metagenome
Description: partial contains 5.8S ribosomal RNA, internal transcribed spacer 2, and large subunit ribosomal RNA
Rfam family: 5.8S ribosomal RNA (bases 1-120)
Source: RNAcentral